UUACUGACGAAAUGCGCGUGAGAAUCGCAUGCGAUAUAUCGCCCAGCCCGAGAAGGGUAUUCCUGCACAACCGGAGGCUGCAGUUUCAGGACCGCAGUUCUAGGACCGCAGUUCCAGGACCCUAGUUUUUCGUGACAGCGCCACCUACCGUACUGGAUCAACACUAAUUAAAGAUGGACAACGUGGACAGCAAUCAGACGGCCAUCAUAUAUGCCCUGGGCUGCCCUCCGGAAUUUGUCCUUGCAGGAGGCUGAGGAGGUCUUCCUUUCUGGUCCAGAUUAUCAUUUCAGUGAAGUGGAAGAAUUUAAUAGAAAGAUUGACAAACAAUUGAGGAAAGAAGGGAGACCAUUCAAUUGAGUUGAAGCCUACAGCCAUUCUAUCCAUGCAGCAACUGAUGGAAAAAGGGUUCGCUUUGGUGCUGUUGUCGCAAAAAUGACAUUAUAUAUAUAUAUAUAUAUAUAUAUAUAUAUAUAUAUAUAUAUAUAUAUAUAUA
Long non-coding RNA from Megalobrama amblycephala (Wuchang bream), 493 nucleotides. RefSeq lists it as uncharacterized. The record is from RefSeq and is a predicted model, not a curated record. The transcript has 4 exons. NCBI's taxonomy places the organism in Eukaryota, Metazoa, Chordata, Actinopteri, Cypriniformes, Xenocyprididae.